AUCGUUCCAUUUUCAUCCACCCUCGACAUUUGUAUAAUCUAUAUAUCCUUUCCCUCUAUUUACCUAUUAUCUUUAUCUAUAUACACCCUAAAACAUUAUCCAUACACACACUUAAACCCCUAUUUCCUAAACAUUCAUCUAUACACAAACCUAAAUCCCUAAACAUUCAUCUAUACCACACAUCCACAACCUAUACAUUCAUCUAUACAAUCGAUACACAUACAUCUUUACCAGCCGUUUACACACUAUACACAUACACAUACAUCACACACUUUACACCUAUACAUCCAUACUCACAUACGUCAUUUGCGUCUCGGCCUUCAAACAAGUUGAAUGUGAGGGAUCUCAGUCCACUUUCCCAUUCCUUCCUUUUUGUAACACACUUGAUUCGAGUUAAGUGUUCUUCAUAAACUGCAAAGUCAGAUGAAUAAUAAGAAUUUUAGUAACAAUGUGUUUAUUCCAAAUAAUACAUUGCCGAAAUAAAUGUAAAUAUAUUUCAGUUUUGUAUACUGUUAAAAGAAGAAGGAAUAGCAUCUUUUCGAGCCUAUAUAAAAAGGUAUACGUAUAACGCUCAAUCUAAACUAUUCUAUAAGGGAACUGAAAAAAAGGUAAAAGAACAAGGAAUGUUGAUUUUGUCUAUUUACAUUAUAACAACUAACAAUCAUUCCGAUGAAAAAUUACAUGUUUUUCUUAGGAAGAAACAGAGCAUGACAAAAUUUGUUAUAUCCACAAUUUACUUUCUUUUUUAUGGCAAAAUUGUAAACGUCCUCUAACAAAAAGCAAACAAAACGGAGUUCUAGAAUUCUUAAUUUCUUAUCAUUCCCCCCAACAUAUGCAAAUCUCUGAACU
RNAcentral lists this long non-coding RNA (849 nucleotides) under Capsella grandiflora. RNAcentral describes it as "long non-coding RNA (CGRA_LNC001304)". Lineage: Eukaryota; Viridiplantae; Streptophyta; Magnoliopsida; Brassicales; Brassicaceae. The record is from RNAcentral.